UUAAUAUCUGAGAUAAAGAGAGUAACAACAUCGGAAUACCAAGCGAGCUAGGGAUGGUGUUAGCCUAGUUAUGAUGAGUUGUGAACCGCACUUUGGAGAUGCUUAAAAGAAAAACGCAUGCGCCCUUUUUCUUUUAAGCCGGAGACUCACCGUUAGGAGAAAGUGGCCUAUUAAAGGCAAAUUGAGUGGUACCGCGGAAGUUCAAGCUUUCGUCUCAUCA
This 220-nucleotide non-coding RNA is filed under the name Psychrobacillus sp. RNAcentral describes it as "T-box sequence". It matches the Rfam family "T-box leader". Rfam says of the family: Uncharged tRNA acts as the effector for transcription antitermination of genes in the T-box leader family. T-boxes are found upstream of many aminoacyl-tRNA synthetase genes and some amino acid biosynthetic genes usually in Gram-positive bacteria. Lineage: Bacteria; Bacillati; Bacillota; Bacilli; Caryophanales; Bacillaceae. The record is from RNAcentral.